GACGAACGCUGGCGGCGUGCUUAACACAUGCAAGUCGAACGGUGAACCUCUUCGGAGGGGAUCAGUGGCGAACGGGUGAGUAACACGUGGGCAACCUGCCCCCGGCUCUGGGAUAACUCCAAGAAAUUGGGGCUAAUACCUGAUGUUCACCGCUUCCCGCAUGGGUGGUGGUGGAAAGGGUUUCCGGCUGGGGAUGGGCCCGCGGCCUCUCAGCUGGUUGGUGGGGUAGUGGCCUACAAAGGCGACGACGGGUAGCCGGCCUGAGAGGGUGACCGGCAACACGGGGUCGGAGACACGGCCCGGACUCUUAGGGGGGGAAGAGGGGGGGAAUAUUGAGAAAGGGGGGGAGGCCUGACGAGGGGCGGCGGGGGGGGGGAUGACGGCCUCCGGGUUGAAACCUUUUUCCAGAAGGGAGGAAGGGGAAGGGCGGUAACCGGAAGAAGAGGCACGGGCAAAUUCGGG
Molecule: ribosomal RNA, 462 nt
Filed under: uncultured bacterium
Lineage: Bacteria
Description: partial 16S ribosomal RNA
Rfam family: Bacterial small subunit ribosomal RNA
Source: RNAcentral